GUUGCGUUUUUGGCGAAGGCGGCUGCUGGCAGGGGAACAGUGAGCCAGCCUGGUACCAUCUGGACCUCUGCCAGAGCUCCAUGGGAGAGAGACCCACACUGGAGGUCGGUGUGAACAGGGACGCGUGUGUGUGUGUGUGACAGAGAGAGAUGGGCAUGAUGGGAAAUUAGCAGGAGGAGGGGAAACGGAGCGAUACUGUAGGUUGGCACAAACCUGACUUCUGUGGAUGCUGAGCAUCGUGCAGCAAACGGGAACCCUGUGGUGGAACCUUUCCCAGAAGGGCUGGACAUGAUCAUGUUCGGUCUGAAGAUGAUUGGAGCUAGUCCGGUUGGAGCAGCUUCUCAAAGUGUUGUGGAAAGCCAGGACCCCACUCAGGGUAGAGCGUGCACACACACACACACACACACACACACACACACACACACAGCAGCAGCAGCAGACCCAUGAAGAGUGUAGUCGUCCAUGUUUCUGGUCAUCCAGAAACAUGAUGUGUACUCUGUGUGUGUGUGUGUGUGUGUGUGUGUGUGUGUGUGUGUGUGUGUGUGUGUGUGUGUGUGUAUAUCCCUG
Molecule: long non-coding RNA, 567 nt
Organism: Denticeps clupeoides (denticle herring)
Lineage: Eukaryota; Metazoa; Chordata; Actinopteri; Clupeiformes; Denticipitidae
Source: Ensembl